UGGGGAAUUUUGGACAAUGGGCGAAAGCCUGAUCCAGCCAUGCCGCGUGAGUGAAGAAGGCCUUCGGGUUGUAAAGCUCUUUUAGUCGGAAAGAAAGAGUUGCAGUGAAUAAUUGUGAUUGAUGACGGUACCGACAGAAAAAGCACCGGCUAACUACGUGCCAGCAGCCGCGGUAAUACGUAGGGUGCGAGCGUUAAUCGGAAUUACGGGGCGUAAAUGGUGCGCAGGCGGUCUUGCAAGUCAGAUGUGAAAGCCCCGGGCCUAACCUGGGAAUUGCGUUUGAAACUCCAAGGUUAGAGUGCAGCAGAGGGAGUGGAAUUCCAUGUGUAGCAGUGAAAUGCGUAGAGAUGUGGAAGAACACCGAUGGCGAAGGCAGCUCCCUGGGUUGACACUGACGCUCAUGCACGAAAGCGUGGGGAGCAAACA
RNAcentral lists this ribosomal RNA (426 nucleotides) under uncultured beta proteobacterium. RNAcentral describes it as "bacterial SSU rRNA". It matches the Rfam family "Bacterial small subunit ribosomal RNA", at positions 355 to 774 of the family's 1533-position model. Lineage: Bacteria; Pseudomonadati; Pseudomonadota; Betaproteobacteria. The record is from RNAcentral.